RNAcentral lists this ribosomal RNA (88 nucleotides) under Escherichia coli. Its description in RNAcentral is "partial 16S ribosomal RNA". It matches the Rfam family "Bacterial small subunit ribosomal RNA", at positions 1 to 89 of the family's 1533-position model. The record is from RNAcentral. Lineage: Bacteria; Pseudomonadati; Pseudomonadota; Gammaproteobacteria; Enterobacterales; Enterobacteriaceae.
AAAUUGAAGGGUUUGAUCAUGGCUCAGAUUGAACGCUGGCGGCAGGCCUAACACAUGCAAGUCGAACGGUAACAGGAAGAAGCUUGCU